Molecule: ribosomal RNA, 459 nt
Filed under: uncultured bacterium
Lineage: Bacteria
Description: SSU rRNA
Rfam family: Bacterial small subunit ribosomal RNA
Source: RNAcentral
AGGAUGAACGCUGGCGGCGUGCCUAAGACAUGCAAGUCGAGUGGGUUUAGGCCCACGGCGAACGGGUGAGUAAUACCUAGGAACUUUUUUCAAGUCGAGGAUAUCCUUCCGAAAGGAAGUGCAAUACUUGAUGUGGACGCAAGUCUAAAGUCGCAAGACGCUUGAAGCAAGGCCUGGGCACCAUCAGCUAGUUGGUAAGGUAAUGGCUUACCAAGGCUUUGACGGUUAGCGGAUCUGAGAGGAUGACCCGCCACACUGGGACUGCGACACGGCCCAGACUCCUACGGGAGGCAGCAGUUUGGAAUUUUGGUCAAUGGGGGAAACCCUGAACCAGCGACGCCGCGUGGACGAAGACGGCCUUCGGGUUGUAAACUGCUUUGCCAGGGGAUAAAAGACCCUUGCGAGGAAAUUGAAGGUACCUGGUGAAUAAGCCACGGCUAACUACGCGCCAGCAGCCGC